This 315-nucleotide ribosomal RNA is filed under the name uncultured Rhodococcus sp. Its description in RNAcentral is "bacterial SSU rRNA". It matches the Rfam family "Bacterial small subunit ribosomal RNA", at positions 179 to 508 of the family's 1533-position model. The record is from RNAcentral. Lineage: Bacteria; Bacillati; Actinomycetota; Actinomycetes; Mycobacteriales; Nocardiaceae.
ACGCAGCAUGCAUGUGUUGUGGUGGAAAGAUUUAUCGGUGCAGGAUGGGCCCGCGGCCUAUCAGCUUGUUGGUGGGGUAAUGGCCUACCAAGGCGACGACGGGUAGCCGACCUGAGAGGGUGACGGCCACACUGGGACUGAGACACGGCCCAGACUCCUACGGGAGGCAGCAGUGGGGAAUAUUGCACAAUGGGCGGAAGCCUGAUGCAGCGACGCCGCGUGAGGGAUGAAGGCCUUCGGGUUGUAAACCUCUUUUCAGCUCUGAAGAAGCGUGAGUGACGGUAGGAGCAGAAGAAGCACCGGCUAACUACGUGC